Molecule: ribosomal RNA, 253 nt
Filed under: uncultured bacterium
Lineage: Bacteria
Description: partial 16S ribosomal RNA
Rfam family: Bacterial small subunit ribosomal RNA
Source: RNAcentral
UACGAAGGGUGCAAGCGUUACUCGGAAUUACUGGGCGUAAAGCGUGCGUAGGCGGUUUGUUAAGUCCGCUGUGAAAGCCCUGGGCUCAACCUGGGAAUUGCAGUGGAUACUGGCAAGCUAGAGUGCGGUAGAGGAUGGUGGAAUUCCCGGUGUAGCGGUGGAAUGCGUAGAGAUCGGGAAGAACAUCAGUGGCGAAGGCGGCCUGCUGGGCUGUUGCUGACGCUGAGGCGCGACAGCGUGGGGAGCAAACAGG